GACGUAGGGGGCCAGCGUUGUUCGGAAUUACUGGGUGUAAAGGGUUCGUAGGCGGUGUGGCAAGUCGGGAGUGAAAUCUCUGGGCUCAACUCAGAGACUGCUUCCGAAACUGCUGUGCUGGAGUGUGGGAGAGGCGCGUGGAAUUGCAGGUGUAGCGGUGAAAUGCGUAGAUAUCGGGAGGAACACCAGUGGCGCAAGCGGCGAACUGGCCGAGACCUGACGCUGAGACGCGACGGCGUGGGGAGCAAACCGG
This 253-nucleotide ribosomal RNA is filed under the name uncultured bacterium. Its description in RNAcentral is "partial 16S ribosomal RNA". It matches the Rfam family "Bacterial small subunit ribosomal RNA", at positions 524 to 776 of the family's 1533-position model. The record is from RNAcentral.